CCCUUAGAUGUUCUGGGCCGCACGCGCGCUACACUGAUGCAUUCAACAAGUUCACCUUGGCCGAGAGGCUUGGGCAAUCUUUUGAACAUGCAUCGUGAUAGGGAUAGAUUAUUGCAAUUAUUAAUCUUGAACGAGGAAUUCCUAGUAAACGUAGAUCAUCAAUCUGCAUUGAUUACGUCCCUGCCCUUUGUACACACCGCCCGUCGCACCUACCGAUUGAAUGGUCCGGUGAAAUCUUCGGAUUGAGACUUUGAUUUCUUCACGGAAAACGCUGUUUUAAAAAGUUGAUUAAACCUUACCAUUUAGAGGAAGGUGAAGUCGUAACA
Molecule: ribosomal RNA, 326 nt
Filed under: uncultured eukaryote
Lineage: Eukaryota
Description: partial 18S ribosomal RNA
Rfam family: Eukaryotic small subunit ribosomal RNA
Source: RNAcentral